This is a long non-coding RNA of Diospyros lotus (date-plum), 1882 nucleotides long. RefSeq lists it as uncharacterized. The record is from RefSeq and is a predicted model, not a curated record. NCBI's taxonomy places the organism in Eukaryota, Viridiplantae, Streptophyta, Magnoliopsida, Ericales, Ebenaceae. The transcript is spliced from 2 exons.
UGGCUUCAAUAUCUACAAAGGCCUUCAGCUCAGCCACCUGAAGAGUCUGCGGCUGGUGUCAUCAUUGGCCUAUUAAAGGAUGAAGAGGUGUCGCAUAUUUCUAUUUUCAUGAUGUGUGUUGCUGCUUGAAAUUUGUAUCCUCUGGUUGCUGCAACCACAGCCAUGUAUCUCAGUUGUUAACAUUCUCUGAUCAUUUUAUUCUUUUCUUACUGUAUUCGUUCAGUGUAGAUGAGCUGUUACAGAAACUUUUGUCCGAAAGAGAUGCAUACCUCCAAUUCAAACAUUCAAUUGGCCGGCUUGAAAUUCAAAAUCAUAGUCAUUCACACAACAGAAUUGGCCACUGCGCAAGAGAGAGUUAAUGAGCUGGUGAGGAGAAUAGACAAAACCCUUAAAUUUUUGCCCCAGCAUCCCUGGUCAAUAGAGGCUCCGAGGUAAAACUAUCAUUGUUUUCAUUGAAAGACAUGGAGAGCUUUCUGAUUUCAUGGCAAUCUAAUAUGUGCCCUAAGCCCUUUGUUGUUUGUGGAGGCAAGGGACGAGGAAGAACGGGAAUCCCAGAUCCUGCACAGGCAGUUUCUUGAUGGGGAGGUUGGUUUAGUCAUUUCCGUGCCAUUAUACCAAAAGACGCGUUAUCUAAUACCACAGGCGUGCUCUCACCCAUCUUGCGGCCAAUUUGGGGCAUGAGCAAGGUCAUUACGAAAAACAGGGGGAGAGACUUGUGGUGUGUCAACCCUAGAACUUGUCCAGCCAUGCAGUUUGGGACUCUGCUAUUGUAUUUUAGGCACUUCUAGCUGUCUUCUAAGCAUAUGCCCCCUUUUCACACUCUGAAUUCUGAUGAAUGUCUUUGCCAGGGGGGGUCUGGCUGUGUUUCAUUGAUUCAGCAAUAUAAUGAAAUCGCUUCGAUGGCAACAAGGCCAAAAUUUUCUUGCCAAUCUCAUCAGUGAUGGCUCUUCUAAUUCUUUUUUAUUUUUAUUUAUGAUCUCUGAAAAGUGAAAAUUACAGAUACAACAUGAUGUCGAAGUCAUCCGGUACACUUGCAGCAAAAAGGUAAUGGAUAAGAACAUUUCUACGCCAUUGAUGUUCCUAAUCUUAAGAUUAAGGGGGAAGGUAUUGAUAUGUGAAGAAAAAGUAAGAAGCACAUACUGCGGGAAACCUUCAGCAGAAUGGUCAUUCCCCUCGGGAAUCUACUUUUUUAUCAUUCAAGCGGUCUAGUUCUUUCUCCCAUUUCAGACCAAACAUCUGGCGGCCAAAAGGAACGAUGAGGUUGUAGCGGAAAACCUGCAUUUAAACUUAGUUCGGGUAAAAAAAAUGCAGCAAAAUCCUUUCAAAAGUGAACCAAAACAAACUUUAUUAUUGACUCACUUUAUCAUUAAUGCCACGCAACUGCGUUUUCAGAGCAUCUGCGAGUUCGGUCCAUUUAGAGUUUUUUCCUUCUGCCUUAUGCGCUAAGGCUCUAUGCAGGGCUAGUCGCCAUUCAGCGAUAUUAUUCCUGAUUUCUUUGUUCAGCUCAACCCACUCUGGUGCACAUUUAUUUCUUGAAAGAAUUCUGUAUAAGGUGUCUUCAGCGGGAUCAGCAUGCGGAUUAGUGUUAAGAUCAAGGGGCUUUCCUUUCCCUGGUAAAUUCUCAAACUGCCCUUCUUCCAUGGAAUGCCAUAUCCUUUGCUCAACUAUAUUUAUAAUAUCAGUUUCAGAUCUGUCCAAAUAUAAAAUCCAGCUUAAAUUGUCAGGAGUCCUUGAUAAAAAACAGAUUAGACACUGCAGAAUGCGCGGGGCUCCCUGCUUUGCGAUGGUUGGGGGAGGGUCAUAUUCUAUGGGCAGCCUCCCCCCCCCCCAGGGCGGCCCACCCUAACCCCUUUUGGGCAAGAAUUCCAUUAUUCCAACAAAA